This is a small nuclear RNA of Neogale vison (American mink), 104 nucleotides long. The record is from Ensembl. Lineage: Eukaryota; Metazoa; Chordata; Mammalia; Carnivora; Mustelidae.
AUACUCACCUUCGUAGCACAUACACCAAAAUUGGAACAAUACACAGAUUAGCAUAACCCUUGCACAAGAGUGACAUACAAAUUUAUGAAGUGUUUUAUAUUAAA